This 395-nucleotide ribosomal RNA is filed under the name uncultured bacterium. RNAcentral describes it as "partial 16S ribosomal RNA". It matches the Rfam family "Bacterial small subunit ribosomal RNA", at positions 523 to 918 of the family's 1533-position model. The record is from RNAcentral.
AUACGUAGGGUGCAAGCGUUAGUCGGAAUUACUGGGCGUAAAGCGUGCGCAGGCGGUUUUGUAAGACAGAGGUGAAAUCCCCGGGCCCAACCUGGGAACUGCCUUUGUGACUGCAAGGCUAGAGUACGGCAGAGGGGGAUGGAAUUCCGCGUGGAGCAGUGAAAUGCGUAGAUAUGCGGAGGAACACCGAUGGCGAAGGCAAUCCCCUGUGCCUGUACAGACGCGCAUGCACGAAAGCGUGGGGAGCAAACAGGAUUAGAUACCCUGGUAGUCCACGCCCUAAACGAUGUCAACUGGUUGUGGGGUCUUCAUUGACUCAGUAACGAAGCUAACGCGUGAAGUUGACCGCCUGGGGAGUACGGCCGCAAGGUUGAAACUCAAAUGAAUUGACGGGG